CGGUGUCGUAUCGGUGUUGGAC
This 22-nucleotide microRNA is filed under the name Medicago truncatula (barrel medic). RNAcentral's name for it is "mtr-miR2586b". The record is from miRBase by way of RNAcentral. Lineage: Eukaryota; Viridiplantae; Streptophyta; Magnoliopsida; Fabales; Fabaceae.